UCGGAAACUGGGGAACUUGAGUGCAGAAGAGGACAGUGGAACUCCAUGUGUAGCGGUGAAAUGCGUAGAUAUAUGGAAGAACACCAGUGGCGAAGGCGGCUGUCUGGUCUGUAACUGACGCUGAGGCUCGAAAGUAUGGGUAGCAAACAGGAUUAGAUACCCUGGUAGUCCAUACCGUAAACGAUGAAUGCUAAGUGUUGGAAGGUUUCCGCCCUUCAGUGCUGCAGCUAACGCAUUAAGCAUUCCGCCCUGGGGAGUACGGCCGCAAGGCUGAAACUCAAAGGAAUUGACGGGGGCCCGCACAAGCGG
This 309-nucleotide ribosomal RNA is filed under the name uncultured bacterium. RNAcentral's name for it is "bacterial SSU rRNA". It matches the Rfam family "Bacterial small subunit ribosomal RNA", at positions 626 to 932 of the family's 1533-position model. The record is from RNAcentral.